ACAAUCUUAGUCUUUUGUUUCUUAUAUUUUUAACUUUUUUAAUUGUUAAUCUUUGCUUUUAAAGUUUUUUUAAUCAAGUCAUUUUAUUUUUCAUGUCAUCAAACAAACAUCGGAGUGGGAAUCAAUUUGGCGACCGUGCUCAUCAACAUGACCCAUGUUGAAUUCUUUGAACGCAACAUGGGUUCCCAUGGUCAGCAGCACAACCAAUGUCGUGUGAACCCUACAUAAAGCCUUUGCCCUAUACCCUAGCUCGUCACGCCUAUGCCUACACCUUAUCUUCCAAAACCCUACAUCUUCUUCCUCUAGACCUCUUCCUCGAGUUUACCCUUAGCCCUCAACCAUGCCUCCACUCUUUUUUCUCAUGAGAUCACACCUUCUUGCCCUAAAUCCCUGCUUCUUAUUUUUGAGAUCUUGAAGAGAAGAUGAAAAGAACAAGGCGAGAGGAAGCUUCCACAUCCAAAGGGAAAGGAAAGGAGAAGGAGAAAGAAGCACGCGAUAAGGUUUGUGAAGUGAUGUGAUAGAUAUAUAGGGGAUUCCACAUCAAUCUUCUAGUUAACGUGCUAGUCAAAAGUUAAGGUAAAUCAACACAAGUGAAGGGUUGAUCUGGACAUCAGGGACUACCACUCGAUAGACACACAGCGCAGGAAAAAUUUCAAGGUCUGGAAUUUCAUUUGGACAGCUAUCUCUUGUUAUUGGGGCUACUGCAUGCGGUCCUAGUCAGUUAGUGUGCAUUUUUUUUUUCCCUUCUCAGAAUUGUUGUCUUUUCGGUCGAGCUAGUUCGCUUAUGUUGUUACAGUUUAACUCUGUUACUUUCUCUUGUUAUAUUACUAGUACUAAAAGGCCUUCCA
Zingiber officinale is the source of this 848-nucleotide long non-coding RNA. RefSeq lists it as uncharacterized. NCBI's taxonomy places the organism in Eukaryota, Viridiplantae, Streptophyta, Magnoliopsida, Zingiberales, Zingiberaceae. The record is from RefSeq and is a predicted model, not a curated record. The transcript is spliced from 3 exons.